GACGAACGCUGGCGGCGUGCUUAACACAUGCAAGUCGAACGGAAAGGCCCUGCUUUUGUGGAGUGCUCGAGUGGCGAGCGGGUGAGUAACACGUGAGUAACCUGCCCUUGACUUUGGGAUAACUUCAGGAAACUGGGGCUAAUACCGGAUAGGAGCUCCUGCUGCAUGGUGGGGGUUGGAAAGUUUCGGCGGUUGGGGAUGGACUCGCGGCUUAUCAGCUUGUUGGUGGGGUAGUGGCUUACCAAGGCUUUGACGGGUAGCCGGCCUGAGAGGGUGACCGGCCACAUUGGGACUGAGAUACGGCCCAGACUCCUACGGGAGGCAGCAGUGGGGAAUAUUGCACAAUGGGCGGAAGCCUGAUGCAGCAACGCCGCGUGCGGGAUGACGGCCUUCGGGUUGUAAACCGCUUUCGCCUGUGACGAAGCGUGAGUGACGGUAAUGGGUAAAGAAGCACCGGCUAACUACGUG
RNAcentral lists this ribosomal RNA (468 nucleotides) under uncultured bacterium. Its description in RNAcentral is "partial 16S ribosomal RNA". It matches the Rfam family "Bacterial small subunit ribosomal RNA", at positions 28 to 507 of the family's 1533-position model. The record is from RNAcentral.